GCUGGGCAUGGUGGUGCACGCCUGUAGUCCCAGAUGGUUGGGAGGAUGAGGUGGGAGGAUCGCCUGAGCCCAGGAGUUCUGGGCUGUGUAGUGCGCUAUUCCAAUAGGGUGUCCGCAUUAAGUUCAGCAUCAAUAUGGUGACUUCCUGAAAGCGGGGGACCACCAGGUUGUUUAAGGAGGGUUGAACCGGCCCAGGUCGGACUCGAAGCAGGUCAAAAUUCCACUGCUGAUCAGUAGUGGAAUCAUGCCUGUGAAUAAGCAUUGCACUCCAACCUGGGCAACAUAGACAGACCCCCUCUGUU
RNAcentral lists this signal recognition particle RNA (302 nucleotides) under Callithrix jacchus (white-tufted-ear marmoset). Its description in RNAcentral is "Metazoan signal recognition particle RNA (ENSCJAG00000083834.1)". It matches the Rfam family "Metazoan signal recognition particle RNA". From Rfam's summary of the family: The signal recognition particle (SRP) is a universally conserved ribonucleoprotein. It is involved in the co-translational targeting of proteins to membranes. The record is from Rfam by way of RNAcentral. Lineage: Eukaryota; Metazoa; Chordata; Mammalia; Primates; Cebidae.